Molecule: ribosomal RNA, 254 nt
Filed under: uncultured bacterium
Lineage: Bacteria
Description: partial 16S ribosomal RNA
Rfam family: Bacterial small subunit ribosomal RNA
Source: RNAcentral
UACAGAGGUCUCAAGCGUUGUUCGGAUUCACUGGGCGUAAAGGGUGCGUAGGUGGUGAGGUAAGUUUGAUGUGAAAGCUCCGGGCUUAACCCGGAAAUGGCAUUGAAUACUAUCUCGCUUGAGGGUUGGAGGGGAGACGUGGAAUUCUUGGUGUAGCAGUGAAAUGCGUAGAUAUCAAGAGGAACACCAGUGGCGAAGGCGAGUCUCUGGACAACUCCUGACACUGAGGCACGAAAGCUAGGGGAGCAAACAGG